UGCAAACAAAGGCUGGCGACCGGCGCACGGGUGAGUAACACGAUUCCAACCUGCCUCAUACUCGGGGAUAGCCUUUCGAAAGAAAGAUUAAUAUCCGAUAGCAUAUAUUUCCCGCAUGGGUUUUAUAUUAAAGAAAUUCGGUAUGAGAUGGGGAUGCGUUCCAUUAGUUUGUUGGCGGGGUAACGGCCCACCAAGACUACGAUGGAUAGGGGUUCUGAGAGGAAGGUCCCCCACAUUGGAACUGAGACACGGUCCAAACUCCUACGGGAGGCAGCAGUGAGGAAUAUUGGUCAAUGGACGCGAGUCUGAACCAGCCAAGUAGCGUGAAGGAUGACUGCCCUAUGGGUUGUAAACUUCUUUUAUAUGGGAAUAAAGUGGUCCACGUGUGGAUUUUUGUAUGUACCAUAUGAAUAAGGAUCGGCUAACUCCGUGCCAGCAGCCGCGGUAAUACGGAGGAUCCGAGCGUUAUCCGGAUUUAUUGGGUUUAAAGGGAGCGUAGGCGGAUUGUUAAGUCAGUUGUGAAAGUUUGCGGCUCAACCGUAAAAUUGCAGUUGAUACUGGCAGUCUUGAGUGCAGUAGAGGUGGGCGGAAUUCGUGGUGUAGCGGUGAAAUGCUUAGAUAUCACGAAGAACUCCGAUUGCGAAGGCAGCUCACUGGAGUGUAACUGACGCUGAUGCUCGAAAGUGUGGGUAUCAAACAGGAUUAGAUACCCUGGUAGUCCACACAGUAAACGAUGAAUACUCGCUGUUUGCGAUAUACAGUAAGCGGCCAAGCGAAAGCAUUAAGUAUUCCACCUGGGGAGUAC
This 805-nucleotide ribosomal RNA is filed under the name uncultured bacterium. RNAcentral's name for it is "bacterial SSU rRNA". It matches the Rfam family "Bacterial small subunit ribosomal RNA", at positions 77 to 883 of the family's 1533-position model. The record is from RNAcentral.